GGGAAGCCUACCUCAAGAUAAGAUUUCCCUAGGAAUUUAUUCCUCUAAAGAGCCGUUCGAGACUAGGACGUUGAUAGGUUGGAUGUGGAAGCAUAGUGAUAUGUGAAGCUGACCAAUACUAAUUGCUCGUGAGGCUUGACUAUACAACACCCAAGCAGUUG
This 161-nucleotide ribosomal RNA is filed under the name Acinetobacter pittii. RNAcentral's name for it is "partial 23S ribosomal RNA". The stretch from base 1 to 143 matches the Rfam family "Bacterial large subunit ribosomal RNA", at positions 2787 to 2925 of the family's 2925-position model. The record is from RNAcentral. Lineage: Bacteria; Pseudomonadati; Pseudomonadota; Gammaproteobacteria; Moraxellales; Moraxellaceae.